This 29-nucleotide non-coding RNA is filed under the name Rattus norvegicus (Norway rat). The record is from RNAcentral. Lineage: Eukaryota; Metazoa; Chordata; Mammalia; Rodentia; Muridae.
UCUUCCAGAUGUUGGAGUAUGCCUAGUCU